This 88-nucleotide transfer RNA is filed under the name Alosa alosa (allis shad). RNAcentral describes it as "tRNA-Leu". It matches the Rfam family "tRNA". From Rfam's summary of the family: Transfer RNA (tRNA) molecules are approximately 80 nucleotides in length. Their secondary structure includes four short double-helical elements and three loops (D, anti-codon, and T loops). Further hydrogen bonds mediate the characteristic L-shaped molecular structure. tRNAs have two regions of fundamental functional importance: the anti-codon, which is responsible for specific mRNA codon recognition, and the 3' end, to which the tRNAs corresponding amino acid is attached (by aminoacyl-tRNA synthetases). tRNAs cope with the degeneracy of the genetic code in two manners: having more than one tRNA (with a specific anti-codon) for a particular amino acid; and 'wobble' base-pairing, i.e. permitting non-standard base-pairing at the 3rd anti-codon position. Lineage: Eukaryota; Metazoa; Chordata; Actinopteri; Clupeiformes; Clupeidae. The record is from RNAcentral.
GCUAGGAUGGCCGAAAGUGGUUAAAGGCGUUGGACUUAAGAACCAAUGGAUGUUUGUAUCCUCGUGGGUUCGACCCCCACUCCUAGCA